GACGAACGCUGGCGGCGUGCUUAACACAUGCAAGUCGAACGGAAAGGCCCUGCUUUUGUGGGGUGCUCGAGUGGCGAACGGGUGAGUAACACGUGAGUAACCUGCCCUUGACUUUGGGAUAACUUCAGGAAACUGGGGCUAAUACCGGAUAGGAGCUCCUGCUGCAUGGUGGGGGUUGGAACGUUUCGGCGGUUGGGGAUGGACUCGCGGCUUAUCAGCUUGUUGGUGGGGUAGUGGCUUACCAAGGCUUUGACGGGUAGCCGGCCUGAGAGGGUGACCGGCCACAUUGGGACUGAGAUACGGCCCAGACUCCUACGGGAGGCAGCAGGGGGGAAUAUUGCACAAUGGGCGGAAGCCUGAUGCAGCAACGCCGCGUGCGGGAUGACGGCCUUCGGGUUGUAAACCGCUUUCGCCUGUGACGAAGCGUGAGUGACGGUAAUGGGUAAAGAAGCACCGGCUAACUACGUG
RNAcentral lists this ribosomal RNA (468 nucleotides) under uncultured bacterium. RNAcentral's name for it is "partial 16S ribosomal RNA". It matches the Rfam family "Bacterial small subunit ribosomal RNA", at positions 28 to 507 of the family's 1533-position model. The record is from RNAcentral.